UACGUAGGUGGCAAGCGUUGUCCGGAAUUAUCGGGCGUAAAGCGCGCGCAGGCGGUCCUUUAAGUCUGAUGUGAAAGCCCACGGCUCAACCGUGGAGGGUCGUUGGAAACUGGGGGACUUGAGUGCAGAAGAGGAAAGCGGAAUUCCACGUGUAGCGGUGAAAUGCGUAGAGAUGUGGAGGAACACCAGUGGCGAAGGCGGCUUUCUGGUCUGUAACUGACGCUGAGGCGCGAAAGCGUGGGGAGCAAACAGG
Molecule: ribosomal RNA, 253 nt
Filed under: uncultured bacterium
Lineage: Bacteria
Description: partial 16S ribosomal RNA
Rfam family: Bacterial small subunit ribosomal RNA
Source: RNAcentral